GAUGAACGCUGGCGGCGUGCUUAAUACAUGCAAGUCGAGCGAAGCACUUUAACGGAAUUCUCCGGAAGGAAGGUAAAGUGACUGAGCGGGCGACGGGUGAGGUAACGCGUGGGUAACCUGCCUUAUACAGGGGGAUAACAGUUAGAAAUGGCUGCUAAUACCGCAUAAGCGCACAGGGCCGCAUGGCCCGGUGUGAAAAAGGAGCAAUCCGCUUUGAGAUGGCCUCGCGUCCGAUUAGCUAGUUGGUGAGGUAACGGCCCACCAAGGCGACGAUCGGUAGCCGGACUGAGAGGUUGAACGGCCACAUUGGGACUGAGACACGGCCCAG
Molecule: ribosomal RNA, 328 nt
Filed under: uncultured bacterium
Lineage: Bacteria
Description: bacterial SSU rRNA
Rfam family: Bacterial small subunit ribosomal RNA
Source: RNAcentral